UGCACUCACUACUGUAAGUCGCUCUGGAUAAGAGUGUCUGCUAAAUGACUAAAA
Salmo salar (Atlantic salmon) is the source of this 54-nucleotide non-coding RNA. The record is from Rfam. Lineage: Eukaryota; Metazoa; Chordata; Actinopteri; Salmoniformes; Salmonidae.